RNAcentral lists this long non-coding RNA (1306 nucleotides) under Marmota monax (woodchuck). Lineage: Eukaryota; Metazoa; Chordata; Mammalia; Rodentia; Sciuridae. The record is from RNAcentral.
CCAGCUCGGAGAGGGGCGGAGAGCGGCCGGCGAGCGGGGAGGGCCGGAGGAGGGAGGUGCGGGCCGCGGGGAGGGGAAGCCCGGCGGCUGCCGCGCGCAGGGAGAGGCGCCGGGGCUACCGCCAGCCGCUCGGCGCGCUCUCGGGAGCCGCCUGUCCGCACGUCCCGCAGCCUUCCGGGAGGAAGCGGCGCCGGCAGCGGCAGAGGCUGCGCGCUCGGGCACCCUCACCUGCGGGCGCCGGACCGAUUCCCCAGCGGGACGCGCGUUGGGCCGGGUGCCGGACCGCCUGGCCGCGGAGGCAGAGGAAGACCCGGCGGCCCGCGCCGCAGCCCAGCAGCCCCGGAUCGUCUCGGACCCCGCGCAGGGCGCCGGCUCCAUGGCGACCGGGCUCGGGGAGCCGGUCUACGGACUUUCCGAAGACGAGGUGAGCGGCACCCCCUCCCGCCCGGGACUCCCCGGGGAGUUCCGCCCCGCGCCGGCAGGGGAGGGAUCGGGGCUACCCCUGGGCUGCACGUCUCCCGAGCCUGCAGGGGGGCCCCAGAAACAGGAGCGCCCGGGAGCAGGGUCGGGGGAGAGGGGCUUGGGUCCUUUUCCCCUCCAGCCGAGCGCAUUGUUUGUAAAUAAAGCGGCCCGACGCCCUUGGAACCCCGGUUCACUCCGCCUCUCCCCGCUUUUGGGAUGGGCUGAAGGCUCUUGUGUCUCUUUGCCCCGCGGGUCCCCUUCCUCUCUGAGCCUUGUCUCCUGAGGCUGUUGGGCAACUUUGCGCCUCUCGUCCCUGCAGCCCGGAGUCCAUGAUGCGUGUCACGUCUGGGUCGCGGCAGGAGACCCGCGCGGUGCGGGGGAUCAGGGGCUGCGGAGGACCCUGAUCGUUCCCCCCGGAACUUUCUAAGGAUCCUGUCUGCAGGCUAUCAGAAGCGUGUGUGUGCUGAUCCUGGUGGUAGUGGGGGAGACGCCGGGAGCUGCGUGUGGCCGUUCCUCUGUCUUGCAAAGUCUGAAACCUGGAUUGUGCAUUUCGGAGCCUCUUUUUUGGUGGAGGGCCCAACGAAGGUGGCAGGUGCUGCUCGAAACUUGGAGGAAGCCUGCAGUCCUGCCAACCCCCCUCCCCCAACCCCAAGGAUUUAAAGCCCGGCACCUCCGGGGUGGGUGGAGAGAGGAACGCUCCAUUGAUCUCUUUUAUUAAUAAAGCGAAUGUAAUAAGCCACGCCCCCAAACGGUUGGUUUCAUUGGAAAGGGCUUUGUUUUUUACCCUCACUCUCUCCUCCGGUUUCCCACUCCCCCUUUUGAAACAAUCCUGCUAAAUCACUGC